UACGUAGGGGGCAAGCGUUGUCCGGAUUUAUUGGGCGUAAAGGGCGCGUAGGCGGACUGAUAAGUCAGAUGUGAAAUCCCGGGGCUCAACCUCGGAACAGCAUUUGAAACUAUCGAUCUUGAGGGUAGGCGGAGAAAACAGAAUUCCACAAGUAGCGGUGAAAUGCGUAGAUAUGUGGAAGAAUACCGGUGGCGAAGGCGGUUUUCUAGCUUACUCCUGACGCUGAGGCGCGAAAGCAAGGGGAUCAAACAGG
Molecule: ribosomal RNA, 253 nt
Filed under: uncultured bacterium
Lineage: Bacteria
Description: partial 16S ribosomal RNA
Rfam family: Bacterial small subunit ribosomal RNA
Source: RNAcentral